Molecule: ribosomal RNA, 458 nt
Filed under: uncultured bacterium
Lineage: Bacteria
Description: partial 16S ribosomal RNA
Rfam family: Bacterial small subunit ribosomal RNA
Source: RNAcentral
AACGAACGCUGGCGGCAGGCUUAACACAUGCAAGUCGAACGUGAAAGUCCUUCGGGAUGAGUAAAGUGGCGCACGGGUGAGUAACGCGUGGGAACGUGCCUUAUAGUUUGGAAUAACAGCGGGAAACUGCGGCUAAUACCAGAUACGCCCUUCGGGGGAAAGAUUUAUCGCUAUAAGAUCGGCCCGCGUAAGAUUAGGUAGUUGGUGGGGUAAUGGCCUACCAAGCCUACGAUCUUUAGCCGGUCUGAGAGGAUGAUCGGCCACACUGGAACUGAGACACGGUCCAGACUCCUACGGGAGGCAGCAGUGGGGAAUAUUGGGCAAUGGAGGAAACUCUGACCCAGCCAUGCCGCGUGAGUGAUGAAGGCCUUAGGGUUGUAAAGCUCUUUCGUUGGUGAAGAUAAUGACGGUAACCAAAGAAGAAGCCCCGGCUAACUUCGUGCCAGCAGCCGCGGUAA